AUUGAACGCUGGCGGCAGGCCCAACACAUGCAAGUCGAACGAGUGGCGGACGGGUGAGUAAUGUCUGGGAAACUGCCUGAUGGAGGGGGAUAACUACUGGAAACGGUAGCUAAUACCGCAUACCAUAAGGUGUGCCCAGAUGGGAUUAGCUUGUUGGUGGGGGAAGGGCUCACCAAGGCGACGAUCCCUAGCUGGUCAGAGAGGAUGACCAGCCACACUGGAACGAGGACAGUUGCCAGCGUCCUACGGGAUGCAGCAGUGGGGAAUAUUGCACAACAGGCGCAACACUGAUGCAGCCAUGCAGCGUAUAUGAAGAAGGCCUUCAGGUUGUAAAGUCCUUUCCGCAGGGAGGCGUUACCCGCAAAAGAAGCACCGGCUUACUCCGUGCCAGCAGCCGCGGUAAUUC
This 406-nucleotide ribosomal RNA is filed under the name uncultured bacterium. RNAcentral's name for it is "partial 16S ribosomal RNA". It matches the Rfam family "Bacterial small subunit ribosomal RNA", at positions 30 to 526 of the family's 1533-position model. The record is from RNAcentral.